Molecule: unclassified non-coding RNA, 3852 nt
Filed under: Dermacentor andersoni
Lineage: Eukaryota; Metazoa; Arthropoda; Arachnida; Ixodida; Ixodidae
Description: aTP-dependent RNA helicase me31b-like
Source: RNAcentral
CUUUGUGCAGCGGUCUUUUUUUUUAAAUAAAUGGUCAGCCAUCUUGAGAAACGUCAGUCGAUGUGUAUGCCGAGAAUAAAUCGUUGUGCAUCGGGAAGUGCGCCUGCUGAAAGGACAGUGAAUGCUGCCCGUUUGAGUCUACGGUACAUGCGCUUCAAUACCGGCCUUCUACCAUAGUUGCGGCGCACUGGAGGAGUCCACAAUGUCCACAGUAGCAGAAAACUCCGGGAACCAUUCCCCUGAGAAGGCUGUAAACCACACCAACAACAUUAGGGAUGUCGAUGAAGGUGGCUGGAAAUCGAAGCUUGUCAUACCUCCCCGUGAUCUAAGGAAGAGAACAUCUGAUGUCACAGACACCAAGGGCAACGAAUUUGAAGACUUCUGCCUAAAGCGGGAGCUGCUUAUGGGUAUCUUUGAGAAGGGCUGGGAAAAGCCCUCUCCCAUCCAGGAAGCCAGCAUCCCCAUUGCACUCCUAGGGCGCGACAUCCUGGCUCGGGCCAAGAACGGCACUGGCAAGACGGGUGCAUACAUCAUCCCCAUGCUCCAGCGGAUAGACGUCACAAAGGAUCACAUCCAAGCUAUGGCCAUCGUCCCCACUCGCGAGUUGGCCCUCCAAACCAGUCAAAUCUGCAUCGAGCUGUCUAAGCACCUGAAGGCCCGAGUCAUGGUUACAACUGGUGGCACCAACCUGAAGGAUGACAUCAUGCGCAUCUAUGAAAACGUUCACGUGAUCAUUGCGACACCUGGCCGCAUUUUGGAUCUCAUGGAAAAAAGAGUAGCGCAGAUGGACAAGUGCAACAUGCUCAUUUUGGAUGAGGCAGACAAGCUUCUCUCCCAGGACUUCAAGGGCUUGCUGGACAAGGUCAUCAGCUACCUGCCCCCUGACAGGCAGAUUCUUCUCUACUCUGCCACGUUCCCACUUACGGUGGAGCAGUUUAUGAAGAAGCACUUGCACAGCCCGUACGAGAUUAACCUGAUGGAUGAGCUGACCCUGAAAGGUGUGACGCAGUACUACGCUUUCGUUCAGGAAAGGCAGAAGGUUCACUGCCUCAACACUCUCUUCUCUAAGCUGCAAAUCAACCAGUCAAUCAUCUUCUGCAACUCCACUCAGCGGGUGGAGCUUUUGGCCAAGAAGAUAACGGAGCUUGGCUACUCGUGCUACUACAUCCAUGCCAAGAUGUCCCAGCAACAUCGUAACCGUGUGUUCCACGACUUCCGCGCUGGCCUCUGCAGGAACCUUGUCUGCUCUGACCUCUUCACGAGAGGUAUAGACAUCCAGGCUGUGAAUGUGGUGAUCAACUUCGACUUCCCAAAGAUGGCAGAGACAUAUCUGCACCGCAUCGGCAGAUCCGGGCGCUUCGGCCACCUUGGCAUCGCCAUCAACCUGAUCACCUAUGAUGACCGCUUCUCACUGCACCGCAUAGAGCAGGAACUGGGGACGGAAAUCAAGCCUAUUCCCAAGGUCAUUGACAAGAACCUCUACGUGCCAGAGCUGCAGCUAGAAGAUGCAGAAGCAAAUGCCAGCAAAUAGGAGCCAAUCAUCAUGUAUUUUUUCAUUAGCAUAACUCAUGAUUUUGUACGUCACUUCCAGAAGAUUCUGUUGUAUACUGUACAGAAGGGAAAAUGUGCAUGGAUGUGCCUGUGUGUGUGCGUGUGUGGUUGUGUCCUGCAAGAAAAACUAAAAAAAAACGUGGACUACUGCAAAUGAAGUUUGUGGGAUGCCUGAAGUGAACAAGUAUUUAUUUCUCCUGGAAGUGUCGCCUCAUGCCAUAACUUAUACUUUUUUGUCGUGCGAGAGUUGCUGGGAAGCUGAUUCAGCCUGUAAAUGUGAAGACAGUGGGAACUUAUCUUUAGGAACAAGUUCUUCUUUUUCUUUUUUUCCAAUUAUGUAAAUUAAUAUCUGCAAGAACAAGUUUUUUUUUUUUUCACCUGCCAUGUGGUGCUGCUUUGCCCGUGACAUUGUACAGGACAAUAUUGUGGCUCGUGAGCGCAUUACAAUGGCAUGAUUACCGCCACACUGAAGAGACGGUUGCCACUCCUCUUCACUUAUUAAUUGGAUGCUGGCCAGAACUGACCUUGCUACAGUUGAGACUGCCUCUGUCCCCUCCCGCUUCUGCUCCAAUGUGGCAAGACCCAAGAUGGGGACAGUGUGUGCAACAAGUCCUCGUUCUGCUUCGUGAUGUGCAGUGCGUGUUCUGGACUCUGGACUUUUAUACACCUGUGUGGACAUUAUUUCAAGUGAAAGAAUAAGGCAGGGCCCACGCACUCUUGAUGAGCGGACUGAGGUUUUUGUGAAUGGCCAUGCAUUUAGCCUGACAUGUUUUAAGUUUCGGUUAUUAACAAGUGCUAGACUCGCUAUCAGUUAAAGGCAAGAACUUUAGUUUUCCCCAAAGAAUUGGCACCUGUUGGCAGCAAAAAUUCCUUGCUCUAAUGACAAAAUUUUGGUGUGCUGUGAUCGGUAGUGCACUUCGGACUAUACUGACAUAUUAAUAUAACAGAGCUAUCUGGAAUAGCAAGAACUUGUCGGACAUACUUUUUGCAUUGGUGUACUUGCCAGCUUUUUUUUUCCCUUCAGAUGUUUUCACUUCCAUUCGUGUUGGCUCUGUAGAGGUGCCUUGCAUGAAGCAUGUUUCGACAGCCCACAAAUUGUAAAUGUUUGAAGCUCUCAAAUGCGUCUCAAGACCACUGGUUUGUUUCGAGCUGACAAAAAAAGCCACCCCCGUCAAAGCAUGCGCAGCCAGGCAGGCAAACGGGCUCGAUUAUUGUUUUGCAGACAACUCGGAUGUGUCGUACCGUUGCAGCUGCAGGGCCCCCCCUUUAGGCCUUGUACAAAGUGUAUAUUUGUAUUAUAUGUUCUCAACCAGUGUCGCCUUGUCUGUCGGAACAAGAUUUUUUGGACUAGACACUUCGGGCAGACGAGGUCUGCCGGCCCAGACACGCAUGCAACCACGUUGCUCACACACACACAAAUGCUGUGUGGCUCUCCUACUGCGCACAGUCGCUAAGAUGCCCUCCUGUAUGCUUGCUGCUGUGAUGGUGGCCAUCAAGAGUUGACCUGCCUGUUUGCGACUGCUUUGACACUUCCAAUCACUGCCCCCAUCCAUAUCCCCCUUCCCUCAGUUUUUGUUUGUGCAGGUGUAAAACAUCUUUGCCUGCCACCCCCCUCUUCCCUUCCAUGUCACUUUUCCUUACUAUGCUCGUGCUUCCUUGCACAAUUUCUUUGACCUUUCCCUACUUUUCCUCUUACAAGCUCGCCAUAGGCGUGCUUGCAAAGUGCCGUAGCCUGCAGGAAGUGUGGACGCUGGGUGCUGUGCAGGUUUUGGAGGAACCCCCCCACGACUGAUCGGCAUAGUCGCACAGCGUCAUUUAAUUGCAGCAAGUGACCAGAAACUUCCUCCAUUGCUUUGCCCACCGCCCGGAACCUGUGGGUGCCCAAAUUUCCUCGAACCUCGGGUCAUUUGGCCUCCCGGGGUCGCCCACUGCCAAGCUCCACGCUUCCUUGCUGGGCACACUUGUACGAGAUUCGGAACACUAGGCCAAAACAAAUUUUUCAGAUUUUUUUUCUUGUGCCAAGUGGAGGGAUUUGUUUGAUUGUCGUUCGGUGAUAAUCGAAAUUGGCCAAUGCUUUGUUUUUCCGUCGAUGAUACGUUUUGAUAACAGUUCUGGUAAUUAAUUUUCCUAGCGGCAGUUUUUCUUCGUCCCUCUUACUCGAGGUUUAUAUAUGCAAUACGGCUGUAAGAUGUGCGAUUGGCCUGAUUCGUUUAUUGGCUCAAGUGAAGACCAUAUCCAUUAAGAAUAUGUGAUCAGAAUAACACGUGACCUGCCAAAAUAAAAAUUUAUAUCUUUUAUAAA